This 72-nucleotide transfer RNA is filed under the name Salmo salar (Atlantic salmon). It matches the Rfam family "tRNA". From Rfam's summary of the family: Transfer RNA (tRNA) molecules are approximately 80 nucleotides in length. Their secondary structure includes four short double-helical elements and three loops (D, anti-codon, and T loops). Further hydrogen bonds mediate the characteristic L-shaped molecular structure. tRNAs have two regions of fundamental functional importance: the anti-codon, which is responsible for specific mRNA codon recognition, and the 3' end, to which the tRNAs corresponding amino acid is attached (by aminoacyl-tRNA synthetases). tRNAs cope with the degeneracy of the genetic code in two manners: having more than one tRNA (with a specific anti-codon) for a particular amino acid; and 'wobble' base-pairing, i.e. permitting non-standard base-pairing at the 3rd anti-codon position. Lineage: Eukaryota; Metazoa; Chordata; Actinopteri; Salmoniformes; Salmonidae. The record is from Rfam by way of RNAcentral.
UCCCGUGUGGCUCAGUUGGUAGAGCAUGGUGUUUGCAACGCCAGGGUUGUGGGCUCGAUUCCCUCGGGGGAC